Molecule: ribosomal RNA, 1068 nt
Filed under: Staphylococcus aureus
Lineage: Bacteria; Bacillati; Bacillota; Bacilli; Caryophanales; Staphylococcaceae
Description: bacterial SSU rRNA
Rfam family: Bacterial small subunit ribosomal RNA
Source: RNAcentral
UUUAUGGAGAGUUUGAUCCUGGCUCAGGAUGAACGCUGGCGGCGUGCCUAAUACAUGCAAGUCGAGCGAACGGACGAGAAGCUUGCUUCUCUGAUGUUAGCGGCGGACGGGUGAGUAACACGUGGAUAACCUACCUAUAAGACUGGGAUAACUUCGGGAAACCGGAGCUAAUACCGGAUAAUAUUUUGAACCGCAUGGUUCAAAAGUGAAAGACGGUCUUGCUGUCACUUAUAGAUGGAUCCGCGCUGCAUUAGCUAGUUGGUAAGGUAACGGCUUACCAAGGCAACGAUGCAUAGCCGACCUGAGAGGGUGAUCGGCCACACUGGAACUGAGACACGGUCCAGACUCCUACGGGAGGCAGCAGUAGGGAAUCUUCCGCAAUGGGCGAAAGCCUGACGGAGCAACGCCGCGUGAGUGAUGAAGGUCUUCGGAUCGUAAAACUCUGUUAUUAGGGAAGAACAUAUGUGUAAGUAACUGUGCACAUCUUGACGGUACCUAAUCAGAAAGCCACGGCUAACUACGUGCCAGCAGCCGCGGUAAUACGUAGGUGGCAAGCGUUAUCCGGAAUUAUUGGGCGUAAAGCGCGCGUAGGCGGUUUUUUAAGUCUGAUGUGAAAGCCCACGGCUCAACCGUGGAGGGUCAUUGGAAACUGGAAAACUUGAGUGCAGAAGAGGAAAGUGGAAUUCCAUGUGUAGCGGUGAAAUGCGCAGAGAUAUGGAGGAACACCAGUGGCGAAGGCGACUUUCUGGUCUGUAACUGACGCUGAUGUGCGAAAGCGUGGGGAUCAAACAGGAUUAGAUACCCUGGUAGUCCACGCCGUAAACGAUGAGUGCUAAGUGUUAGGGGGUUUCCGCCCCUUAGUGCUGCAGCUAACGCAUUAAGCACUCCGCCUGGGGAGUACGACCGCAAGGUUGAAACUCAAAGGAAUUGACGGGGACCCGCACAAGCGGUGGAGCAUGUGGUUUAAUUCGAAGCAACGCGAAGAACCUUACCAAAUCUUGACAUCCUUUGACAACUCUAGAGAUAGAGCCUUCCCCUUCGGGGGACAAAGUGACAGGUGGUGCAUGG